RNAcentral lists this ribosomal RNA (705 nucleotides) under Triticum aestivum (bread wheat). RNAcentral describes it as "partial small subunit ribosomal RNA". The record is from RNAcentral. Lineage: Eukaryota; Viridiplantae; Streptophyta; Magnoliopsida; Poales; Poaceae.
AUGACCAUGUGGCGUAUUUGGCACGUCCGUAACGAGAUAACUCAUCAGAAGAAUCCGCCCCCUACAGAAGCCUCUUGCAGAUUUCUCCAUGGGUAUAUUAAUUCUCUACUAUGUAUCCGACAACAUCCUAGAGCUGAUAUUGUUAAAGGCAAAAUGGUGGUGCAUUUGGGAAGGUCGGCUGCUACACAAAUUAAACAUAGUGGUGAGGAGAAGCGAUGGAUGCCACCAGCAGUUGGCUUGGCCAAGCUGAACAUGGACGGGAGCUACGUCCCAGCUACAGGAGCUGCUGGCGGAGGUAUGGUGCUGCGUGGCGCUGCUGGAGAGAUUAUUUAUACUGCUUGCAGGCAAUUACGUACAUGCACUAAUGGUUUAGAGGCGGAACUAGCUGCGUGCAGUGAAGGGCUGGCUCUUGCCCUCCACCGUAUUGAGUUGCCGAUUGUCAUUGAGAUGAAUAGUUUGGAGGCGGUGUCGAUGCUUAACUCGCGGUCCGUGGAUCGCUCGAACCAUCGUGUACUCGUACAAGAGAUUCUUGGGUUAAUUGCAGCUGACCCUCGAAAGAUUUCUAUUAGUCAUAUUAGUCGCUCUCAAAACACUGUUAGUCAUGCUCUUGCCGCUUAUGGUCGUAGUACCCCUCGCACCGCCGUGUGGUUGGGAUCUGGCUUGCACAACAUUGUAAAUCUUUGUAUGGCUGAACGGCCUCCUUGA